UCCUACGGGACGCAGCAGUGAGGAAUAUUGGUCAAUGGGCGCGAGCCUGAACCAGCCAAGUAGCGUGAAGGAUGACUGCCCUACGGGUUGUAAACUUCUUUUGUAAAGGGGUAAAGGGAGGCACGUGUGCCUGUUUGUAUGUAUUUUAUGAAUAAGGAUCGGCUAACUCCGUGCCAGCAGCCGCGGUAAUACGGAGGAUCCGAGCGUUAUCCGGAUUUAUUGGGUGUAAAGGGAGCGUAGAUGG
This 244-nucleotide ribosomal RNA is filed under the name uncultured bacterium. RNAcentral describes it as "partial 16S ribosomal RNA". It matches the Rfam family "Bacterial small subunit ribosomal RNA", at positions 337 to 578 of the family's 1533-position model. The record is from RNAcentral.